This 73-nucleotide transfer RNA is filed under the name Gemmatimonadota bacterium. RNAcentral's name for it is "Gemmatimonadetes bacterium (beach sand metagenome) tRNA-Gly". It matches the Rfam family "tRNA". From Rfam's summary of the family: Transfer RNA (tRNA) molecules are approximately 80 nucleotides in length. Their secondary structure includes four short double-helical elements and three loops (D, anti-codon, and T loops). The record is from RNAcentral. Lineage: Bacteria; Pseudomonadati; Gemmatimonadota. RNAcentral also lists the same sequence under 5 other names.
GCGGGCGUAGCUCAGUUGGUAGAGCAUCAGCUUCCCAAGCUGAGGGUCGCCGGUUCGAGUCCGGUCGCCCGCU